GACGAACGCUGGCGGCGUGCUUAACACAUGCAAGUCGAACGGUGACGAGGAGCUUGCUCCUCUGAUCAGUGGCGAACGGGUGAGUAACACGUGAGCAACCUGCCCCAGACUCUGGGAUAACAGUUGGAAACAGCUGCUAAUACCGGAUACGAGACGGAGAGGCAUCUCUACCGUCUGGAAAGUUUUUCGGUCUGGGAUGGACUCGCGGCCUAUCAGCUAGUUGGUGAGGUAAUGGCUCACCAAGGCGACGACGGGUAGCCGGCCUGAGAGGGCGACCGGCCACGACUGGGACUGAGACACGGCCCAGACUCCUACGGGAGGCAGCAGUGGGGAAUAUUGCACAAUGGGCGAAAGCCUGAUGCAGCGACGCCGCGUGAGGGAUGACGGCCUCGGUUGUAACCGUACUUCUAGCAGGAAGGAAGACGAAGUAGACGGUACGUCGCAGAAGAAGACACCGACGAACUACGUACGCCGACGCAGCCGCCGGUACGUACUCGU
This 498-nucleotide ribosomal RNA is filed under the name uncultured bacterium. RNAcentral describes it as "bacterial SSU rRNA". It matches the Rfam family "Bacterial small subunit ribosomal RNA", at positions 28 to 532 of the family's 1533-position model. The record is from RNAcentral.